This 466-nucleotide ribosomal RNA is filed under the name uncultured bacterium. Its description in RNAcentral is "partial 16S ribosomal RNA". It matches the Rfam family "Bacterial small subunit ribosomal RNA", at positions 28 to 507 of the family's 1533-position model. The record is from RNAcentral.
GACGAACGCUGGCGGCGUGCUUAACACAUGCGAGUCGAACGGAAAGGCCCUGCUUGCCGGGUACUCGAGUGGCGAACGGGUGAGUAACACGUGGGUGAUCUGCCCUGCACUUCGGGAUAAGCUUGGGAAACUGGGUCUAAUACCGGAUAGGAGCCAUCUUUAGUGUGGUGGUUGGAAAGUUUUUUCGGUGUAGGAUGAGCUCGCGGCCUAUCAGCUUGUUGGUGGGGUAAUGGCCUACCAAGGCGGCGACGGGUAGCCGGCCUGAGAGGGUGUACGGCCACAUUGGGACUGAGAUACGGCCCAGACUCCUACGGGAGGCAGCAGUGGGGAAUAUUGCACAAUGGGCGCAAGCCUGAUGCAGCGACGCCGCGUGGGGGAUGAAGGCCUUCGGGUUGUAAACUCCUUUCGCUAGGGACGAAGCCUUUUUGUGACGGUACCUAGAUAAGAAGCACCGGCUAACUACGUG